UGGGGAAUCUUGCUCAAUGGGCGCAAGCCUGAAGCAGCAACGCCGCGUGAGGGAUGAAGGCCUUCGGGUUGUAAACCUCUUUCAGCAGGGACGAAAAUGACGGUACCUGCAGAAGAAGCCCCGGCCAACUACGUGCCAGCAGCCGCGGUAAUACGUAGGGGGCGAGCGUUGUCCGGAUUUAUUGGGCGUAAGGAGCUCGUAGGCGGUUUGGUAAGUCGGGUGUGAAAGUCCGAGGCUCAACCUCGGGAAGCCACCCGAUACUGCUAUGACUGGAGUCCGGUAGAGGAGUGUGGAAUUCCUGGUGUAGCGGUGAAAUGCGCAGAUAUCAGGAGGAACACCAAUGGCGAAGGCAGCACUCUGGGCCGGUACUGACGCUGAGGAGCGAAAGCGUGGGUAGCAAACAGGAUUAGAUACCCCCGUAGUCCCUGAGCGGGCUGGCAAGGCG
Molecule: ribosomal RNA, 445 nt
Filed under: uncultured bacterium
Lineage: Bacteria
Description: bacterial SSU rRNA
Rfam family: Bacterial small subunit ribosomal RNA
Source: RNAcentral